UACAGAGGGUGCGAGCGUUAAUCGGAAUUACUGGGCGUAAAGCGCGCGUAGGCGGCUUUGCAAGUCGGGUGUGAAAUCCCCAGGCUUAACCUGGGAACUGCAUUCGAGACUGCAUUGCUAGAGUAUGGGAGAGGGAAGUGGAAUUUCCGGUGUAGCGGUGAAAUGCGUAGAUAUCGGAAGGAACAUCAGUGGCGAAAGCGACUUCCUGGACCAAUACUGACGAUCAGGUGCGAAAGCGUGGGGAGCAAACAGG
RNAcentral lists this ribosomal RNA (253 nucleotides) under uncultured bacterium. Its description in RNAcentral is "partial 16S ribosomal RNA". It matches the Rfam family "Bacterial small subunit ribosomal RNA", at positions 524 to 776 of the family's 1533-position model. The record is from RNAcentral.